RNAcentral lists this transfer RNA (67 nucleotides) under Grammomys selousi. RNAcentral describes it as "tRNA-Phe". It matches the Rfam family "tRNA". From Rfam's summary of the family: Transfer RNA (tRNA) molecules are approximately 80 nucleotides in length. Their secondary structure includes four short double-helical elements and three loops (D, anti-codon, and T loops). The record is from RNAcentral. Lineage: Eukaryota; Metazoa; Chordata; Mammalia; Rodentia; Muridae.
GUUAAUGUAGCUUAAUAAUAAAGCAAAGCACUGAAAAUGCUUAGAUGGAUUCUCUAUCCCAUAAACA